This 594-nucleotide ribosomal RNA is filed under the name Saccharomyces cerevisiae (brewer's yeast). RNAcentral's name for it is "eukaryotic LSU rRNA". It matches the Rfam family "Eukaryotic large subunit ribosomal RNA", at positions 69 to 664 of the family's 3401-position model. Lineage: Eukaryota; Fungi; Ascomycota; Saccharomycetes; Saccharomycetales; Saccharomycetaceae. The record is from RNAcentral.
CCGGGAUUGCCUUAGUAACGGCGAGUGAAGCGGCAAAAGCUCAAAUUUGAAAUCUGGUACCUUCGGUGCCCGAGUUGUAAUUUGGAGAGGGCAACUUUGGGGCCGUUCCUUGUCUAUGUUCCUUGGAACAGGACGUCAUAGAGGGUGAGAAUCCCGUGUGGCGAGGAGUGCGGUUCUUUGUAAAGUGCCUUCGAAGAGUCGAGUUGUUUGGGAAUGCAGCUCUAAGUGGGUGGUAAAUUCCAUCUAAAGCUAAAUAUUGGCGAGAGACCGAUAGCGAACAAGUACAGUGAUGGAAAGAUGAAAAGAACUUUGAAAAGAGAGUGAAAAAGUACGUGAAAUUGUUGAAAGGGAAGGGCAUUUGAUCAGACAUGGUGUUUUGUGCCCUCUGCUCCUUGUGGGUAGGGGAAUCUCGCAUUUCACUGGGCCAGCAUCAGUUUUGGUGGCAGGAUAAAUCCAUAGGAAUGUAGCUUGCCUCGGUAAGUAUUAUAGCCUGUGGGAAUACUGCCAGCUGGGACUGAGGACUGCGACGUAAGUCAAGGAUGCUGGCAUAAUGGUUAUAUGCCGCCCGUCUUGAAACACGGACCUCCUGUGUGA